UGGUAAGGUGGGAGACACAGGACA
RNAcentral lists this non-coding RNA (24 nucleotides) under Mus musculus (house mouse). Lineage: Eukaryota; Metazoa; Chordata; Mammalia; Rodentia; Muridae. The record is from RNAcentral.